This 204-nucleotide unclassified non-coding RNA is filed under the name soil metagenome. Its description in RNAcentral is "partial contains 5.8S ribosomal RNA, internal transcribed spacer 2, and large subunit ribosomal RNA". The record is from RNAcentral.
AACAAGGCGUACCUGCGGACCUGCGGAAGGAUCAUUACCGAGUUUACAACUCCCAAACCCCUGUGAACAUACCUAUAUGUUGCCUCGGCGGAUCAGCCCGCGCCCCGUAAAACGGGACGGCCCGCCGCAGGAUCCACAAACUCUGUUUUUAUUGUAACUUCUGAGUAACAAAACAAAUAAAUCAAAACUUUCAACAACGGAUCU